AUUAUUGUAGUAUAAGUAUUAUAUUUAGUUUCCACCUAAAAGAUUGUUUCAAUAAUA
This 57-nucleotide transfer RNA is filed under the name Tigriopus californicus. RNAcentral describes it as "tRNA-Gly". Lineage: Eukaryota; Metazoa; Arthropoda; Copepoda; Harpacticoida; Harpacticidae. The record is from RNAcentral.